RNAcentral lists this transfer RNA (64 nucleotides) under Teleogryllus infernalis. RNAcentral's name for it is "tRNA-Phe". The record is from RNAcentral. Lineage: Eukaryota; Metazoa; Arthropoda; Insecta; Orthoptera; Gryllidae.
ACUUAAAUAGCUUAUGAAGAGCAUAUCAUUGAAGAUGAUAGGGAGAUUUUAUUAUCUUUAAGUA